UCGAAGGGGGCUAGCGUUGCUCGGAAUUACUGGCGUAAAGCGCACGUAGGCGGCUUCUUAAGUCAGGGGUGAAAUCCUGGAGCUCAACUCCAGAACUGCCUUUGAUACUGAGGAGCUUGAGUCCGGGAGAGGUGAGUGGAACUGCGAGUGUAGAGGUGAAAUUCGUAGAUAUUCGCAAGAACACCAGUGGCAAAGGCGGCUCACUGGCCCGGUACUGACGCUGAGGUGCGAAAGCGUGGGGAGCAAACAGG
Molecule: ribosomal RNA, 251 nt
Filed under: uncultured bacterium
Lineage: Bacteria
Description: partial 16S ribosomal RNA
Rfam family: Bacterial small subunit ribosomal RNA
Source: RNAcentral